Molecule: transfer RNA, 90 nt
Filed under: Halomonas chromatireducens
Lineage: Bacteria; Pseudomonadati; Pseudomonadota; Gammaproteobacteria; Oceanospirillales; Halomonadaceae
Description: tRNA-Pro
Source: RNAcentral
ACCGGCCUGGUCGUGGCCUUGCUCGGCACGGCGCUGGGCGCGCUGCUGGUUCGUCGCCUGGGUGCCCUGGUGCCGAGCCGGGAGCCGGCU